RNAcentral lists this ribosomal RNA (357 nucleotides) under uncultured bacterium. Its description in RNAcentral is "bacterial SSU rRNA". It matches the Rfam family "Bacterial small subunit ribosomal RNA", at positions 8 to 353 of the family's 1533-position model. The record is from RNAcentral.
AGAGUUUGAUCAUGGCUCAGGAUGAACGCUAGCUACAGGCUUAACACAUGCAAGUCGAGGGGAAACGACAUCGAAAGCUUGCUUUUUGAUGGGCGUCGACCGGCGCACGGGUGAGUAACGCGUAUCCAACCUGCCCACCACUUGGGGAUAACCUUGCGAAAGUAAGACUAAUACCCAAUGAUAUCUCUAGAAGACAUCUGAAAGAGAUUAAAGAUUUAUCGGUGAUGGAUGGGGAUGCGUCUGAUUAGCUUGUUGGCGGGGUAACGGCCCACCAAGGCAACGAUCAGUAGGGGUUCUGAGAGGAAGGUCCCCCACAUUGGAACUGAGACACGGUCCAAACUCCUACGGGAGGCUUCA